This 16-nucleotide small RNA is filed under the name Arabidopsis thaliana (thale cress). RNAcentral's name for it is "ATSL119810". The record is from RNAcentral. Lineage: Eukaryota; Viridiplantae; Streptophyta; Magnoliopsida; Brassicales; Brassicaceae.
ACCGGUUUGUUCUGUU